CCUACGGGUGGCAGCAGUGGGGAAUAUUGGGCAAUGGAGGCAACUCUGACCCAGCAACGCCGCGUGAAUGAUGAAGGUCUUCGGAUUGUAAAGUUCUUUUCUAAGGGAAGAAGAAAGUGACGGUACCUUAGGAAUAAGCCUCGGCUAACUCCUGGCCAGCAGCCGCGGUAAUACGGAGGAUCCAAGCGUUAUCCGAAUUUAUUGGUUUUAAGGGGUGCGUAGGCGGAUUGAUAGGUUAGGGGUGAACUGUCCGAGCUUAACUCGGGAACUGCCUCUAAUACUGUUGAUCUAGAGAGUAGAUGCGGUAGGAGGAAUGUAUGGUGUAGCGGUGAAAUGCUUAGAGAUCAUACAGAACACCGAUUGCGAAGGCAGCUUACCAAUCUAUAUCUGACGUUGAGGCACGAAAGCGUGGGGAGCAAACAGGAUUAGAUACCCGUGUAGUC
This 443-nucleotide ribosomal RNA is filed under the name uncultured bacterium. Its description in RNAcentral is "partial 16S ribosomal RNA". It matches the Rfam family "Bacterial small subunit ribosomal RNA", at positions 338 to 795 of the family's 1533-position model. The record is from RNAcentral.